RNAcentral lists this ribosomal RNA (69 nucleotides) under Proteus mirabilis. The record is from RNAcentral. Lineage: Bacteria; Pseudomonadati; Pseudomonadota; Gammaproteobacteria; Enterobacterales; Morganellaceae.
CUUGGCGGCCAUAGCGCAGCGGUCCCACCUGAUCCCAUGCCGAACUCAGAAGUGAAACGUUGUAGCGCC